GGCACUACUGACGUUGCUAGAUCAGCAGUAGGUGUGAUGAUUGAAAAUAGGUGCGCGUGUAACCCAUAUUUAAGGAUGGCUUGGAUAAAAUAUACCAAAAUGAAAAAAGGACCAUUAAUCUUAGCAGUACACUCUGUUUAUAGUGAAUAAGCCAUAGGUGCAGCAGUUAAAGAGUUAACUGCUCUGGUGUAGGCGUGUGUUGCUCUAAGCCAAUGAGCUGCUGAAAUGUGGUGCAGGGUCCCGCCUGCCAUCUCCGUCUGAGAGAGCACAGGCUUUUCCUUCUCUCUCUCGCGAAUCCUCCAUGAGCACGCUAGCAAGGAAAAAGACACGGCGAUUCACUGAAACGAGGUCGGGAGUUAGAGACGACGCCAUUUCAUCAUUCCUGCGCCAUCUCGCGCUGCUCCGCCUUUCUUUUCUGAGAUCGGUCAGGUUUUUUUUGUUUCCCUUUGUAUCUUCCUUUUGAUGCAUUGCAACGGAUCCGGUAAUCGAUGGCGAGCCAACCCCGUUGAUGGACCAAUUGACUUUGUUCUGUGCUGCACAGCAGAGUGUGGUAGGCCAGUUGCAACAAAACAAAAACACACCACGCCACUUUGAACUUGCUGUUCCCUUUCUUCACACACAUCCCCCUGGACUUACGGACGGUUUAUUUUAAGGACUUUUCACGGACUCUAUACAUCCCACGAACAGGAAGGGAAGUGGGUGUGGGCGGUUGGAUACAUGUUUCCAGCUUAAUGGUUGUUGUACUUUAUUAACAAAGUCUAUGAAGAUACAACCAAGUGUUGUUAUUUGGAUUUUGCUAAUUGAUAUUGUGGUUCAUUUUGGAAGUGAACUUUGUACAUUUAGAAGGGUGCACCCAGGUAAGUUUUCUUUUUGUAAAGUGAUUACUGUGAUUGUGCCACAGGGUUGUCACUGAGGAAAAUACUGGUACCAAAAACAGAGACUUUUAUUUGUAAUGUUUUGUAUGUUUGUCAUAUUUUCUUUCUUUUGUUUCUCGAUGAGUAAAAAUACAAAGCUGGCAUUUUCAAAACUCACAGUUGCCUGAGUCUCAUUCAGUUUGCCUCUCCUGUACGUAGCCGAACCUACUGGUCCAGAGCAGUGAGCUCUUUUGCAUCAAAUUUGGGUGAAGUACCUUUUGGUCUUAGAGUAUUUGAGGCACAUGAGUGUUACACGCGGGUAAUGAGCACCGCCCCGGCAGAGGAGAGAGAGAGAGAGAGAGCGCACACACAAAACAAA
Oreochromis niloticus (Nile tilapia) is the source of this 1233-nucleotide long non-coding RNA. The record is from Ensembl. Lineage: Eukaryota; Metazoa; Chordata; Actinopteri; Cichliformes; Cichlidae.